Molecule: ribosomal RNA, 1373 nt
Filed under: uncultured bacterium
Lineage: Bacteria
Description: bacterial SSU rRNA
Rfam family: Bacterial small subunit ribosomal RNA
Source: RNAcentral
GAUUGAACGCUGGCGGUAUGCUUAACACAUGCAAGUCGAACGGAAACGAUACUAGCUUGCUAGUAGGCGUCGAGUGGCGGACGGGUGAGUAACGCGUAGGAAUCUGCCUGAUAGUGGGGGAUAGCCCGAAGAAAUUCGGAUUAAUACCGCAUAAUCUAUUCGUAGUAAAGUGGGGGACUUUCGAGCCUCACGCUAUCAGAUGAGCCUGCGUAAGAUUAGCUUGUUGGUAGGGUAAAAGCCUACCAAGGCGACGAUCUUUAGCUGGUCUGAGAGGAUGAUCAGCCACAUCGGGACUGAGACACGGCCCGAACUCCUACGGGAGGCAGCAGUGGGGAAUAUUGGACAAUGGGGGCAACCCUGAUCCAGCAAUACCGCGUGUGUGAAGAAGGCCUGAGGGUUGUAAAGCACUUUCAAUUGUGAAGAAAAGUUAGCGGUUAAUAACCGUUAGCCUUGACGUUAACUUUAGAAGAAGCACCGGCUAACUCCGUGCCAGCAGCCGCGGUAAUACGGAGGGUGCAAGCGUUAAUCGGAAUUACUGGGCGUAAAGCGUGCGUAGGCGGUUUAUUAAGUCAGAUGUGAAAGCCCCGGGCUUAACCUGGGAACUGCAUUUGAAACUGGUCAACUAGAGUAUGGUAGAGGAAAGUGGAAUUUCUGGUGUAGCGGUGAAAUGCGUAGAUAUCAGAAGGAACAUCAAUGGCGAAGGCAGCUUUCUGGACCAAUACUGACGCUGAGGUACGAAAGCGUGGGUAGCAAACAGGAUUAGAUACCCUGGUAGUCCACGCCGUAAACGAUGAUAACUAGCCGUUGGGGGGGAUUUACCCUUUAGUGGCGAAGCUAACGCGUUAAGUUAUCCGCCUGGGGAGUACGGCCGCAAGGUUAAAACUCAAAGGAAUUGACGGGGACCCGCACAAGCGGUGGAGCAUGUGGUUUAAUUCGAUGCAACGCGAAGAACCUUACCUGGUCUUGACAUCCUGCGAACUUUCUAGAAAUAGAUUGGUGCCUUCGGGAACGCAGUGACAGGUGCUGCAUGGCUGUCGUCAGCUCGUGUCGUGAGAUGUUGGGUUAAGUCCCGUAACGAGCGCAACCCCUAUCCUUAUUUGCCAGCACAUCAUGGUGGGAACUAUAAGGAGACUGCCGGUGAUAAACCGGAGGAAGGCGGGGACGACGUCAAGUCAUCAUGGCCCUUACGACCAGGGCUACACACGUGCUACAAUGGGAAGGACAAAGAGCCGCGAAGCCGCGAGGUGUAGCUAAUCUCAUAAACCUUUUCGUAGUCCGGAUUGGAGUCUGCAACUCGACUCCAUGAAGUCGGAAUCGCUAGUAAUCGUAGAUCAGAAUGCUACGGUGAAUACGUUCCCGGGUCUUGUACACAC